Pectinophora gossypiella (pink bollworm) is the source of this 508-nucleotide long non-coding RNA. RefSeq lists it as uncharacterized. The record is from RefSeq and is a predicted model, not a curated record. The transcript is spliced from 3 exons. NCBI's taxonomy places the organism in Eukaryota, Metazoa, Arthropoda, Insecta, Lepidoptera, Gelechiidae.
UUAAAAAAACAACUGUCGAAGUCAGACGAGUGUUGGUCGAGUCUACUGUCAACUACUGUGUUUGCGAUUGAGUGUUUUAGACAAGAAAUAUGCCCAGAUGCCCAGGAUAUUGAUUGCAGGGUACACCAAAUUUGGUCAACUUUCAUCAUGAGAUGCUAUAGUUCAGCUAUAGAGAGGACACAGAGAGUAAUUACAAAAAAAAAACGAAUUACUAAACUGCCAGUAGAUGUCCGACAGGAGCUUACGGACAGAAAGCGGCAGGCGCAAUUAGAUUUAGCAAUAAGGCCGCCUUUUGUCUCUAGUGUCUCGAUUUAUUUGUUUGGUACGUCAUUUUGUGCAAUCAAGUAUAUUGUAUUGCAAGACUGUAAUUUUAAAUUCUAAUAAAAAAUAUAUAUUUUUAAGGUCCGAAUGUUAAGUGCUUGGUAAAAAAUGUAAAUAAAACAAGCAUUCAAUUAUAAAUUGGUUUUAGUUCAUAUUAAUAAACCUUAAUUUUUCUACUGGUUUUCUU